Long non-coding RNA from Mustela erminea (ermine), 1814 nucleotides. RefSeq lists it as uncharacterized. The record is from RefSeq and is a predicted model, not a curated record. The transcript is spliced from 3 exons. Lineage: Eukaryota; Metazoa; Chordata; Mammalia; Carnivora; Mustelidae.
AGAAAGUGUUUGGCAGAGAAUAAAUGCUUAAUAAAUAUUUGCUGAUGAAUGAGUGAUUGGCUUCACGGAAAAGGUGACAUUUCAGCUAGACCAACAACGGUGGGUAGGAUUUUGAGAUGCGGAAAUGGGAAAUCCAAGUAAAUUGCAAAAGGGCACAGUGCUUGGGAGCUUAACCAAUAUGCUGCUUUGCCGGGGGUUAGGGCAUAUGAGGGGACUGGCUGGAGGUAAGCAGGAAUAAAAGGCUUGCUAGAGACACGGAGGGCCUAAACUAUUAGGCUAAGGCAUUUAUCUGGUGGGCGUCAGGGAGUCACUAAGGGUGGUGGUUCUUGUUGCAGUGAUUAGGAAGAUUUAUUUGGAGUGGUCUCCUGGGUGAAUGUUAGAGGGGGCCCUGAUCCAUUGUGACAUCAGCAAGCGGACUGAUCAGAAGACGUGCAGGAUGCCUGUUGUGGGAUGGUCACAGUGGAAACGGACAGAAGGAGGUAGAGUGGAAAGUCAUCCCGGAGAAGAGAAGUCUAAGUGAACUCUGGGAUCAUGAGGCUGGGUGAUUGGGGAGGGGGAGACAGCGAACGUGAGGGAAGGAGCAGUUUGGCAGAAAGGCAAGGGAAAAUAGAGACUGUGAACUUGGCUAUGGACCUUGGUCACUUGCUGUUGACCCUGGGUGGCUUGGAGGCAGCUGGCAGCCAGGUGGGAAGGGAGAAACGUUGGACACACUGCUGGCAUCACUGGGAGCCUCCUCUAGCCUGUCCCCAGAGAUACCUGUCUUGGGCCCAUGAUAAGCAAUGGGCACAGCGAUGGCUCAGUAAUUCUGCAAAUGUGCAUUGAGCUGUGUCUGUGAGCAAGACAGCAUCCUGGUUGACUGGAGGAGCUACAAAGAGAAAACAGGAGAUUCUGGUUCCAGGACAGGGCUUCGUUGCCCCGUCCUCUGCCUGGGUGCUCUGGGUGUUGGGGGGAUCCCCACCCACUCCGCUGCAGGCCUUUGGGCACAACAGCCUUUCCUGGACCCUCUGAGUGCCCUGGAGAGACAGCAGGCCAGGCAGCAGGGAGCUGGAGGCCAGGCUCAGAGUUUUGGAAUGGUGGGAAGCAGCUCUGCAAGGGCAGGGGGCGGGGGGGUGUCAGAGCCGGCGACAGAGCUCAGGCUGGCCGGUGCUCCACACCCCCUCAACUCUAGCCCCUGCACAGGAUCCUGGGGAUAGCACAGGUGGAGGUAGGGGGAGGAGUCUCCUGGGAUCCCCCACCAGUCCACAGGUCUCCACCCCUAAGGGUCGGGUCAUGGCUGUCACUUUGCACCCACCCUCCACAAGGAAUCACAGUACCAGGUGCAACGCUCUCUUCAUGAAUUGCAUUUGCCAAAUGAGACCCGGUAUUAGUUUUUCUUUUUCCCCCUUCUUCCUGGCCUGUUUCUCGUCUGCCUCCAGAAGCUGCUGGAAGUUCUCCCCAGAGUUUUAUAUCUUGAGGGCUUGUGUCUUUGGAGCCAAAGCCUCCCCCGCUCCUUCUCCCCCCUCCCCUCUCCCAGCAGAGGCUUCUCUCUGGACUAGCAAAAGGGCACCGUGUCGAUUAAUAAAACAUUUUCUUGCAGUCUGAUGGCCACGCUCAGUUUGGGCAGGGCUUAGGGAUGAUGAAGCGUUAUGCCCACCCCCCACCCUACACACUGCGUUGGACUUUCUUAAUAUUUCCAUGUAAGGUCAGCUUCUCAUCCGAAGAGCAGAGGCUGCUGCGUUCACGUUCCAAGUUAGGUCCUUUACGCCUGGGCUGGCCCACAUGAGUUGACUGAAUUCUUUGGUUGGGGUGGGACUCCCUAGGGCAAUGGAAAGACC